RNAcentral lists this long non-coding RNA (1158 nucleotides) under Oncorhynchus kisutch (coho salmon). RNAcentral describes it as "lncRNA (ENSOKIG00005027193.1)". Lineage: Eukaryota; Metazoa; Chordata; Actinopteri; Salmoniformes; Salmonidae. The record is from RNAcentral.
NNNNNNNNNNNNNNNNNNNNNNNNNNNGCUUUUGCAUCCUGUAGCUCCAACUCCAAAAAGUUCUGGGACACUGUGAAGUCCAUGGAGAACAAGAGCACCUCCUCCCAGCUGCCCACUGCACUGAGGCUAGGUAACACGGUCACCACUGAUAAAUCCAUGAUUAUCGAAACUUCAAUAAGCAUUUCUCAACGGCUGGCCAUGCCUUCCGCCUGGCUACUUCAACCUCGGCCAACAGCUCCGCCCCCCCCGCAGCUCCUCGCCCAAGCCUCUCCAGGUUCUCCUUUACCCAAAUCCAGAUAGCAGAUGUUCUGAAAGAGCUGCAAAACCUGGACCCGUACAAAUCAGCUGGGCUUGACAAUCUGGACCCUCUAUUUCUGAAACUAUCUGCCACCAUUGUCGCAACCCCUAUUACCAGCCUGUUCAACCUCUCUUUCAUCUCGUCUGAGAUCCCCAAGGAUUGGAAAGCUGCCGCAGUCAUCCCCCUCUUCAAAGGGGGAGACACCCUGGACCCAAACUGUUACAGACCUAUAUCCAUCCUGCCCUGCCUAUCUAAGGUCUUCGAAAGCCAAGUCAACAAACAGGUCACUGACCAUCUCGAAUCCCACCGUACCUUCUCCGCUGUGCAAUCUGGUUUCCGAGCCGGUCAUGGGUGCACCUCAGCCACACUCAAGGUACUAAACGACAUCAUAACCGCCAUCGAUAAAAGACAGUACUGUGCAGCCGUCUUCAUCGACCUUGCCAAGGCUUUCGACUCUGUCAAUCACCAUAUUCUUAUCGGCAGACUCAGUAGCCUCGGUUUUUCGGAUGACUGCCUUGCCUGGUUCACCAAUUACUUUGCAGACAGAGUUCAGUGUGUCAAAUCGGAGGGCAUGCUGUCCGGUCCUCUGGCAGUCUCUAUGGGGGUGCCAGGGUUCAAUUCUCGGGCCGACUCUUUUCUCUUUCUCUGUGUAUAUCAAUGAUGUUGCUCUUGCUGCGGGCGAUUCCCUGAUCCACCUCUACGCAGACGACACCAUUCUAUAUACUUUCGGCCCGUCUUUGGACACUGUGCUAUCUAACCUCCAAACAAGCUUCAAUGCCAUACAACACUCCUUCCGUGGCCUCCAACUGCUCUUAAACGCUAGUAAACCAAAUGCAUGCUUUUCAACCGGUCGCUGCCUG